GACGGAGGAUGCAAGCGUUAUCCGGAAUGAUUGGGCGUAAAGCGUCCGCAGGUGGCAGUUCAAGUCUGCUGUCAAAGACCGGGGCUUAACUUCGGAAAGGCAGUGGAAACUGAACAGCUAGAGUAUGGUAGGGGCAGAGGGAAUUCCUGGUGUAGCGGUGAAAUGCGUAGAGAUCAGGAAGAACACCGGUGGCGAAGGCGGCGCUCUGGACCGAGACUGACGCUGAGGCACGAAGGUCAGGGGAGCAAACGGG
This 253-nucleotide ribosomal RNA is filed under the name uncultured bacterium. Its description in RNAcentral is "partial 16S ribosomal RNA". It matches the Rfam family "Bacterial small subunit ribosomal RNA", at positions 524 to 776 of the family's 1533-position model. The record is from RNAcentral.